RNAcentral lists this ribosomal RNA (670 nucleotides) under Bacillus sp. FJAT-4521. RNAcentral's name for it is "bacterial SSU rRNA". It matches the Rfam family "Bacterial small subunit ribosomal RNA", at positions 55 to 707 of the family's 1533-position model. Lineage: Bacteria; Bacillati; Bacillota; Bacilli; Caryophanales; Bacillaceae. The record is from RNAcentral.
CUGCAGUCGAGCGAUGGAUUGAGAGCUUGCUCUCAAGAAGUUAGCGGCGGACGGGUGAGUAACACGUGGGUAACCUGCCCAUAAGACUGGGAUAACUCCGGGAAACCGGGGCUAAUACCGGAUAAUAUUUUGAACUGCAUGGUUCGAAAUUGAAAGGCGGCUUCGGCUGUCACUUAUGGAUGGACCCGCGUCGCAUUAGCUAGUUGGUGAGGUAACGGCUCACCAAGGCAACGAUGCGUAGCCGACCUGAGAGGGUGAUCGGCCACACUGGGACUGAGACACGGCCCAGACUCCUACGGGAGGCAGCAGUAGGGAAUCUUCCGCAAUGGACGAAAGUCUGACGGAGCAACGCCGCGUGAGUGAUGAAGGCUUUCGGGUCGUAAAACUCUGUUGUUAGGGAAGAACAAGUGCUAGUUGAAUAAGCUGGCACCUUGACGGUACCUAACCAGAAAGCCACGGCUAACUACGUGCCAGCAGCCGCGGUAAUACGUAGGUGGCAAGCGUUAUCCGGAAUUAUUGGGCGUAAAGCGCGCGCAGGUGGUUUCUUAAGUCUGAUGUGAAAGCCCACGGCUCAACCGUGGAGGGUCAUUGGAAACUGGGAGACUUGAGUGCAGAAGAGGAAAGUGGAAUUCCAUGUGUAGCGGUGAAAUGCGUAGAGAUAUGGAGGAAC